CGAGCCGGCCGGGUGACCGCGGCCUCCCGCACCGCCGCCCCGUGCGGGUCUGGCGGGGGUCGAGGAAAGUCCGGACUCCACAGGGCACGGUGGUUGCUAACAGCAACCCGGAGCGAUCCGCGGGAAAGUGCAACAGAAAGUAGACCGCCAGCCCGUGCGGGUUGGUAAGGGUGAAAGGGUGCGGUAAGAGCGCACCGGCGUGCGUGGUGACACGCGCGGCCAGGUAAACCCCACCGGGAGCAAGGCAAGAGCCCCCGCCGUGUGCGCGGGGGUCGUCGGACGUGCCGAGAGGCUGCCCGCCCAGUCCGAAGGUAGCUGCUUGAGGCGCCCAGCGAUGGGUGGCCCAGAUGGAUGGUCGCCGCCCCACGGGGUACAGAAUCCGGCUUACAGGCCGGCUCGUUCG
This 403-nucleotide RNase P RNA is filed under the name Corynebacterium timonense. Its description in RNAcentral is "Bacterial RNase P class A". It matches the Rfam family "Bacterial RNase P class A". From Rfam's summary of the family: Ribonuclease P (RNase P) is a ubiquitous endoribonuclease, found in archaea, bacteria and eukarya as well as chloroplasts and mitochondria. Its best characterised activity is the generation of mature 5'-ends of tRNAs by cleaving the 5'-leader elements of precursor-tRNAs. Lineage: Bacteria; Bacillati; Actinomycetota; Actinomycetes; Mycobacteriales; Corynebacteriaceae. The record is from Rfam by way of RNAcentral.